This 433-nucleotide ribosomal RNA is filed under the name uncultured bacterium. RNAcentral's name for it is "partial 16S ribosomal RNA". It matches the Rfam family "Bacterial small subunit ribosomal RNA", at positions 29 to 507 of the family's 1533-position model. The record is from RNAcentral.
AACGAACGCUGGCGGCAUGCCUAACACAUGCAAGUCGAACGAGACCUUCGGGUCUAGUUGCGCACGGGUGCGUAACGCGUGGGAACCUGCCCUUAGGUUCGGAAUAACUCCCCGAAAGGGGUGCUAAUACCGGAUAAUGUCUUCGGACCAAAGAUUUAUCGCCUUUGGAUGGGCCCGCGUUGGAUUAGCUAGUUGGUAGGGUAAAAGCCUACCAAGGCGACGAUCCAUAGCUGGUCUGAGAGGAUGAUCAGCCACGCUGGGACUGAGACACGACACAGACUACUACGGGAGGAAGCAGUGGGGAAUAUUAGACAAUGGGCGAAAGCGUUAUCAAGCAAUGCCGCGUGAGUGAUAAAAGCCUUAGGGUUGUAAAGCUCUUUUGCCCGAGAUGAUAAUGACAGUACCGGGGGAAUAAGCGCCGGCUAACUCCGUG